CCCACGCAUGCGCAGUUUUAUACGGACCCGGAAAAGGAAAUCUUGGGACCAAGGUCACACGGCAGAGCGUACACACCUGCACCAGAUGGAAGAUCCCAGGGAACAGUUGACCUUCCAGGAUGUGGCCAUAGAAUUCUCGGAGGAGGAGUGGGCCUGCCUGGACCCUGCUCAGAGGGCCUUUUACGUGGACGUGAUGCUGGAGACCUACAGGAACCUGCUCUCUUUGGAUACCUCUCAUAUCCAUGGGAUGGGGAAAUUACAGCCAACAGUAAACAAUGACAGAGGAGAUGUAUUCCAAACAGGGACGUUGGAAAGUCAGGAAAGCCAUCACAUGAAACACUUUUACGUCCCAGAAAUACAGGAAGAUAUGUAUGACUUUGGGUGCCAGUGGCAGGAUGGUGAAAGAAAUUAUGAAGUGAUGCCUGGAGCCCAGAAGGAAAAUGUAACUGACACAAGAGAGAGACAAGGCAAUUGGAAUGCAGUAAAGAAGCCUCUUGGAAACGGGCUGGCCUUAAGCUUUCAGGAUGAACUGCGUAUAUUGAAGAAGGAUAUUUACACAUGCAAAGAGUGUGGCAAAUCCUUUAACCACGGCUCAUCCCUCCGUAGACACCAGAUAAUCCAUACAGGCGAGAAGUCCUACGAGUGUGGUGUGUGUGGCAGUGUUUUCCGCCGGAAAUCCCACCUGGCAAGUCAUUGGACAGUUCACACCCGUGAGAAAACCUACAAGUGUCAUGAAUGUGGCAAAGCCUUCAAUCAUGGCUCUUCCCUCCGUAGGCAUCAGCUCAUCCACACAGGCGAGACAUUAUAUAAAUGCGACGUAUGCGGCAAAGUAUGCAGUCAGCACGCCUCCCUUAGACGUCAUCAGCGAGUUCACACCGGAGAGAGACCCUACCAGUGUCCCGAGUGCGGCAAAACCUUUAACCGUGGCUCCCACCUCGCCACCCAUCAGCUCGUCCACACGGGAGUGAAGUUAUGUAAAUGCGACGUGUGCGGCAAAGUCUUCAGUCAGAAUUCAUGCCUUAGAAUUCACCGCAGAAUCCAUAAUGGAGAGAAACCUUACAAAUGUCACGAAUGUGGUAAGGCCUUUCGGCAAAAUUCUCACCUUGGACGACAUCAGAGAAUUCACACCGGGGAGAAGCCCUACAGAUGUAGUGAAUGCGGCAAAGUCUUCAGUCAGCAUUCCAAUCUUGCAGGUCAUCAGAGAAUUCACACUGGAGAGAAGCCUUACACCUGUCAAGUAUGUGGCAAGGUCUUCAGCCAAAAUUCCAACCUUGCCAGUCACCAGAGAAUUCAUACCGGAGAGAAGCCCUACCAAUGCAAUGAGUGCGGCAGGUCCUUUAACCAAAAGGCAUACCUCGCAAAGCAUCAGAGGGUUCACGAUGACGAGAAGUCUCACACGUGUCAUGUGUGUGGCAGGGUCUUCAGUCGCAAUUCCAACCUUGUCAGUCAUCAGAGAAUUCAUACCGGAGAGAAGCCCUACCAAUGCAAUGAGUGUGGCAGGUUCUUUUCUCAAAAGCCAAACCUUGGAAAGCAUCGGAGAGUUCAUACUGGACAGAAGCCCUAUAAAUGCAAUGUAUGUGCAAAAGCAUUCACUCAGAGCUCCUACCUUGCCAUCCACCAGAGAAUUCACACUGGGGAGAAGCCGUACAAAUGCAAUGACUGCGGCAAGGUCUUUAGUCAAAACUCCUACCUGGCGAAGCACCGCAGAAUUCACACUGGAGAGAAGCCGUACAAGUGUCACGAGUGCGGCAAGGCCUUCAGUCAAAAAGGAAACCUGGCGAGUCACUGGAAGAUCCACACCGGGGAGAAGCCGUACAAGUGUCACGAGUGCGGCAAGGUCUUCAGUCAGAGAUCGACCCUGGUGAGCCAUCAGAUAAUCCACACCGGCGAGAAACAUUACAGGUGCAACGAGUGUGGCAAAACCUUUUAUUUUGCCUCGCACCUCAUUCAGCACCAAACCAUCCACUCGGGAGAUAAGCCCUAUAAAUGUGACGUGUGCGGGAAAGUCUUCGGCCAGAACUCCUACCUUGCCAUCCAUCGGCGGAUUCACACGGGCGAGAAGCCCUACCAGUGCCAAGACUGCGGCCGAAUCUUUAAUCACAGCUCGAACCUCAAGCGACAUCAGAUAACCCACACCGGCCAGAAACUGUGCAAAUGCGACGUGUGCGGCCGAGUCUUCAGCUACAACUCCUACCUUACAAUCCACCAGCGCGUGCACACAGGCGAGAAGCCUUACAAGUGCCACGCCUGCGGCAAAGUCUUCAAUCGGAAUUCAAAUCUGACCAUCCACCAGCGGGUCCACACCGGGGAGAAACCGUACGCGUGUUCUGAGUGCGGCAGCUGCUUCAGUCGCAAGGCCUACCUCACAAAGCAUCAGAGUGUUCACACUAAGCCCAGACCUUGUACAGGUAAAGACUGUUGAAACGCCCUCCCUCAGAGCUCAGCCCUCACUGCACACCCGGUAAUACGUAUAACAGGGUCCAUAUUAACGUGAUGUAUGGGGGGGAGGCCAUCCUUCAAAAUCGCCCCUUCCUUUUUUUUAGUAUUUAUUUCUGUGGAUUUUUUGCUGUGGCAUGCAGCAGCGUGAUGGCCUCUUAGUUCCCAGACCAGGGACUGAACUCUGGCCGCAGGGCUGAGAGCGCUGAGUCCUAUAACCACUAUAUGUACAGAGAACACCCAACGUUGACACUGCCGCUCUCUUUUUUUUUUUUUCUUUUGGCCCAUGCCCUCGGCUGUAGACGUUUCUGGGCCAGGCGUUGAAACCACGCCAUAGCAGGGACCCAGAGCCACAGCGGUGGCAAUGCCGGCUUUUUAACCUGCGGGGCCACCAGGGAGCUCCCAAAAUUAACACUUCAGAUUCAUGGGAGCUUCAUAGUGGGGAGGUAUUAUGCAAAUGCCGCAAGUGUGGCCAAGCCUCACUUACCAUCAGAUAAUCCACACUGGGCAGAAACCGUAAAAAUAUAUUCAUGCAUUGAAUGUGUCACAGUCUUUUUUUGUUUGUUUGUUUUUUAGGGCCGCACCUGCGGCAUAAGGAGGUUCCCAGGCUAGGGGUCCAU
Sus scrofa (pig) is the source of this 3056-nucleotide long non-coding RNA. RefSeq lists it as uncharacterized. NCBI's taxonomy places the organism in Eukaryota, Metazoa, Chordata, Mammalia, Artiodactyla, Suidae. The record is from RefSeq and is a predicted model, not a curated record.